RNAcentral lists this unclassified non-coding RNA (649 nucleotides) under Hevea brasiliensis (rubber tree). Lineage: Eukaryota; Viridiplantae; Streptophyta; Magnoliopsida; Malpighiales; Euphorbiaceae. The record is from RNAcentral.
GUUUUGACAGAGAGCGAAGAGGAGGAUUUCCCUCGAGCGGUGGUGGCGCCGAUUCAGACAGUUGGAGCAGAAAAUCUGAAGGGGCUAGAGGUGGAAUUGGUGAGAACGGUGGUGGGGCAGAUUCGGAAAAUUGGGGCAAAAAAUCUGAAGGGGUUAGAGGUGGAAUUGGUGAGAGGCCGAGGCUUAAUCUGCAGCCUCGUUCAAUCCCUUUGAACAAUGGGAAUCAGGAGGCUUCUGGUGCUGCAGCAAAGCCAAAGGGUUCCAAUCCUUUUGGGAAUGCAAGACCAAGGGAACAGGUAUUGGCUGAAAAGGGGCAAGACUGGAAGAAGAUUGAUGAGCAACUCGAAUCAAUGAAAAUUAAGGAUACGGUGGAGAGAACCGAGAAAUCUAGUGGGGCUUCGUUUGAGAGAAAAGGCUUUGGAGUUAGAAGUGGUCGGUCUCCCGAAGAUCGGUCAGUAAGGAGUUGGAGGAAGCCAGAGUCUGUGGAGUCUCGUCCCCAAAGUGCUGACGUGGUUGAAGAUGGACCUGCUGAGGAUUGAAGACGCUAUUCUAUGCAAUUGAUACUAAAGUUGAAAGAAUUAAAUUGCUGAUGCGUAGUGUUGAAGUUUGCUGAUAUUCAUUAUUGAAAGCUCUUGAAUUAUUCACUGUG